CAUAUACUCCCUCCGUCAAAAAAUACUUGUCGAAAAAAUGAAUAAAAAUGGAUAUAUCUAGAACUAAAAUACAUCUAGAUACAUCCAUUUUCCCGACAAGUAUUUCCGGACGGAGGGAGUACUAU
Molecule: non-coding RNA, 125 nt
Organism: Triticum aestivum (bread wheat)
Lineage: Eukaryota; Viridiplantae; Streptophyta; Magnoliopsida; Poales; Poaceae
Source: Rfam